This 484-nucleotide ribosomal RNA is filed under the name uncultured bacterium. RNAcentral describes it as "bacterial SSU rRNA". It matches the Rfam family "Bacterial small subunit ribosomal RNA", at positions 28 to 508 of the family's 1533-position model. The record is from RNAcentral.
GACGAACGCUGGCGGCGUGCUUAACACAUGCAAGUCGAACGAGGCUUCACCUUCGGGUGGGGUUCUAGUGGCGAACGGGUGAGUAACACGUGGGCAACCUGCCCUCAGCUCUGGGAUAACUCCGGGAAACCGGGGCUAAUACCGGAUAUGACCACCGUGGGCAUCUGUGGUGGUGGAAAGUUUUUCGGCUGAGGAUGGGCCCGCGGCCUAUCAGCUUGUUGGUGGGGUGAUGGCCCACCAAGGCGACGACGGGUAGCCGGCCUGAGAGGGUGACCGGCCACACUGGGACUGAGACACGGCCCAGACUCCUACGGGAGGCAGCAGUGGGGAAUCUUGCACAAUGGGCGAAAGCCUGAUGCAGCGACGCCGCGUGAGGGAAGAAGGCUUUCGGGUUGUAAACCUCUUUCAGGAGGGACGAAGCUCCUCGGGUUAAUAGCCCAGAGGGUGACGGUACCUCCAGAAGAAGCCCCGGCUAACUACGUGC